RNAcentral lists this ribosomal RNA (187 nucleotides) under Aerococcus urinae. RNAcentral's name for it is "partial 16S ribosomal RNA". It matches the Rfam family "Bacterial small subunit ribosomal RNA", at positions 1 to 182 of the family's 1533-position model. Lineage: Bacteria; Bacillati; Bacillota; Bacilli; Lactobacillales; Aerococcaceae. The record is from RNAcentral.
UUUCAUGAGAGUUUGAUCCUGGCUCAGGACGAACGCUGGCGGCGUGCCUAAUACAUGCAAGUCGAGCGAACCGACGAAGUGCUUGCACUUCUGACGUUAGCGGCGGACGGGUGAGUAACACGUAAGGAACCUACCGAUAAGCGGGGGACAACAUCCGGAAACGGGUGCUAAUACCGCAUAGGAAAGG